ACGAACGCUGGCGGCAUGCCUCACCCCUGCCAGUCGAACGAGACCUUCGGGUCUAGUGGCGCACGGGUGCGUAACGCGUGGGAACCUGCCCUUAGGUUCGGAAUAACUCCCCGAAAGGGGUGCUAAUACCGGAUAAUGUCUUCGGACCAAAGAUUUAUCGCCUUUGGAUGGGCCCGCGUUGGAUUAGCUAGUUGGUAGGGUAAAAGCCUACCAAGGCGACGAUCCAUAGCUGGUCUGAGAGGAUGAUCAGCCACACUGGGACUGAGACACGGCCCAGACUCCUACGGGAGGCAGCAGUGGGGAAUAUUGGACAAUGGGCGAAAGCCUGAUCCAGCAAUGCCGCGUGAGUGAUGAAGGCCUUAGGGUUGUAAAGCUCUUUUACCCGGGAUGAUAAUGACAGUACCGGGAGAAUAAGCUCCGGCUAACUCCGUG
Molecule: ribosomal RNA, 432 nt
Filed under: uncultured bacterium
Lineage: Bacteria
Description: partial 16S ribosomal RNA
Rfam family: Bacterial small subunit ribosomal RNA
Source: RNAcentral